RNAcentral lists this long non-coding RNA (380 nucleotides) under Mus musculus (house mouse). RNAcentral's name for it is "predicted gene, 48791". The record is from RNAcentral. Lineage: Eukaryota; Metazoa; Chordata; Mammalia; Rodentia; Muridae.
CCAAGUAAUCUGAGCUCAAUAAAAUCUCCUAGGUCAUGAAAAGCAAGCUGGAACCUUCACUACCCUCCUGACUCCUCCUGGGAUUGUGCUUAUGGGAGAGCUACACUAGAGGCCAAAGUCUCAGGAACACCUUCUAGGGUACUUCAGGCAGUGUCUUCUCUCACAUCUGGCUGCACCCUCACACAUCUCAGAAAAGCCAUGGAGGUCACCGCAUUGUCUCCACUGUCAUCAAGGCCUGUUUGUAAGAAGAAAUAUGUCUACUGAAGGGGACACCACAGAUCCCUUUAAAGAUAUGCUGGUCCCAGCCCCAGCCGUGUCACAGGACCCUAUAGUAUGGAACGACUAAAACGCAUUGCAAAAACAAGGUAGAGGGUCUUGUG